CGAGGGGUAUAGUUCUUCGGAAUUAGAGACCGGCGCACGGGUGCGUAACGCGUAUGCAAUCUACCUUUCACAGAGGGAUAGCCCAGAGAAAUUUGGAUUAAUACCUCAUAGUAUAUCGAGUUGGCAUCAACAUGAUAUUAAAGUCACAACGGUGAAAGAUGAGCAUGCGUCCCAUUAGCUAGUUGGUAAGGUAACGGCUUACCAAGGCAACGAUGGGUAGGGGUCCUGAGAGGGAGAUCCCCCACACUGGUACUGAGACACGGACCAGACUCCUACGGGAGGCAGCAGUGAGGAAUAUUGGACAAUGGGCGCAAGCCUGAUCCAGCCAUGCCGCGUGCAGGAUGACGGUCCUAUGGAUUGUAAACUGCUUUUAUACGAGAAGAAACACCUCUACGUGUAGAGACUUGACGGUAUCGUAAGAAUAAGGAUCGGCUAACUCCGUGCCAGCAGCCGCGGUAAUACGGAGGAUCCAAGCGUUAUCCGGAAUCAUUGGGUUUAAAGGGUCCGUAGGCGGUCAGAUAAGUCAGUGGUGAAAGCCCAUCGCUCAACGGUGGAACGGCCAUUGAUACUGUCUGACUUGAAUUAUUAGGAAGUAACUAGAAUAUGUAGUGUAGCGGUGAAAUGCUUAGAGAUUACAUGGAAUACCAAUUGCGAAGGCAGGUUACUACUAAUAUAUUGACGCUGAUGGACGAAAGCGUGGGUAGCGAACAGGAUUAGAUACCCUGGUAGUCCACGCCGUAAACGAUGGAUACUAGCUGUUGGGAGCAAUCUCAGUGGCUAAGCGAAAGUGAUAAGUAUCCCACCUGGGGAGUACGUUCGCAAGAAUGAAACUCAAAGGAAUUGACGGGGGCCCGCACAAGCGGUGGAGCAUGUGGUUUAAUUCGAUGAUACGCGAGGAACCUUACCAAGGCUUAAAUGUAGAUUGACCGGUUUGGAAACAGACUUUUCGCAAGACAAUUUACAAGGUGCUGCAUGGUUGUCGUCAGCUCGUGCCGUGAGGUGUCAGGUUAAGUCCUAUAACGAGCGCAACCCCUGUUGUUAGUUGCCAGC
Molecule: ribosomal RNA, 1050 nt
Filed under: Flavobacterium sp.
Lineage: Bacteria; Pseudomonadati; Bacteroidota; Flavobacteriia; Flavobacteriales; Flavobacteriaceae
Description: bacterial SSU rRNA
Rfam family: Bacterial small subunit ribosomal RNA
Source: RNAcentral